UGACCAUGUGUUUAACGGCCGCGGUAUUUUGACCGUGCAAAGGUAGCGCAAUCACUUGUCUUCUAAAUAAAGACCCGUAUGAACGGUAAAACGAGGGCUUAACUGUCUCCUUUUUCAUGUCAAUGAAAUUGAUCUUCCCGUGCAGAAGCGGGAAUCUCCCCAUAAGACGAGAAGACCCUAUGGAGCUUUAGACACCUGAACAGACCACGUCAAAGCCCCCUGAUAAAGGCCCAAACUAAGUGAACCCUGUCCCAGUGUCUUUGGUUGGGGCGACCACGGGGAACUACACAACCCCCAUGUGGAAUGGAAGCAUUUUGCUGCCACAACUAAGAGCUCCCGCUCUAAUAAACAGAAUUUCUGACCAAUACAGAUCCGGCAAAGCCGAUCAACGAACCUAGUUACCCUAGGGAUAACAGCGCUAUCCUCUUUCAGAGCCCCCAUCGACAAGAGGGUUUACGACCUCGAUGU
RNAcentral lists this ribosomal RNA (468 nucleotides) under Nibea coibor. RNAcentral describes it as "partial 16S ribosomal RNA". It matches the Rfam family "Bacterial large subunit ribosomal RNA", at positions 1913 to 2532 of the family's 2925-position model. The record is from RNAcentral. Lineage: Eukaryota; Metazoa; Chordata; Actinopteri; Sciaenidae.